GUCUAUGGCCACACCACCCUGAACAUGCCUGAUCUUGGCAGCAAAGCAGGGUCCAGCCUGGUUAGUACUUGGAUGGGAGACCACCUAGGAAUACCAGGUGCCGUAGGCA
RNAcentral lists this ribosomal RNA (109 nucleotides) under Pteropus alecto (black flying fox). The record is from RNAcentral. Lineage: Eukaryota; Metazoa; Chordata; Mammalia; Chiroptera; Pteropodidae.